Molecule: ribosomal RNA, 2833 nt
Filed under: human gut metagenome
Description: bacterial LSU rRNA
Rfam family: Bacterial large subunit ribosomal RNA
Source: RNAcentral
UCAAGCGAACAAGGGCGCAGGGCGAAUGCCUUGGCACUGGGAGCCGAUGAAAGACGUGAUAAGCUGCGAUAAGCUUCGGGGAGCUGCAAAUAAGCAUUGAUCCGGAGAUUUCUGAAUGAGGAAACUCACCUGGGUUCAUACUCAGGUACGUUAUACUGAACUUAAAAAUAGGUAUAUCGAGGGAACCGCCUGAACUGAAACAUCUAAGUAGGGCGAGGAAGAGACAUCAAACGAGAUUCCGUAAGUAGUGGCGAGCGAACGCGGAAGAGGGCAAACCGGGAGUAGAAAUACUCCCGGGGUACGGACUGCUUUUAGGACUUAAUCUGUUAACCGAACGGCAUGGGAAGGCCGGUCAGAGAGUGUGAGAACCACGUAGGUGAAAACGGAGAGAGCUGCGCAGGAUCCAGAGUACGGCCAGACACGUGAAACCUGGUCGGAAUACGGGGGGACCACCCUCUAACCCUAAAUACUACCCAGUGACCGAUAGCGUAUAGUACUGUGAAGGAAAGGUGAAAAGCACCCCGGGAGGGGAGUGAAAAAGAACCUGAAACCCUGUGCCUACAAGCACCUAGAGCACGUCAAUGUGUGAUAGGGUACUUUUUGUAGAACGGUCCGGCGAGCGAUUGUAUGCAGCAAGGUUAAGGACUUAAGGUCUGGAGCCGAAGCGAAAGCGAGUUUGAAAAGGGCGUUAAGUUGCAUACAAUGGGCCCGAAACCGGGUGACCUACCCAUGGUCAGGUUGAAGUGGAAGUAAAAUUCCAUGGAGGACCGAACCGACCUCCGUUGAAAAGGCGGCGGAUGAACUGUGGGUAGCGGAGAAAUUCCAAUCGAACCCGGAGAUAGCUGGUUCUCCCCGAAAUAGUUUUAGGACUAGCCUCAAGUUAGAUACCUGGAGGUAAAGCACUGAAUAGCCUAGCGGCCGAGAGGUUAGCGAAGCUUAUCAAACUCAGAAUGCCAGAGUAUUGAUGCUUGGGAGUCAGACAGUGUCAGAUAAAUGUCAUUGUCAAAAGGGAAACAGCCCAGAUCUACAGCUAAGGUCCCAAAGUCAGGUUAAGUGGAAAACGAUGUGAAGAUACGUAGACAACCAGGAUGUUGGCUCAGAAGCAGCCACACAUUCAAAGAGUGCGUAAUAGCUCACUGGUCGAGCGUCUUUGCGCGGAGAAUUUAACGGGGCUAAACCUGACACCGAAGCUUAGGCAAUACAGCAAUGUAUUGGGUAGGGGAGCGUUGUAUACGCGGUGAAACAGUAGCGCAAGCGGCUGUGGAGUGUAUAGAAGUGAGAAUGCCGGAAUGAGUAGCGCGAAUGCAGUGAGAAUCUGCAUGGCCGAAAGCCUCAGGUUUCUGGAGGAAGGUUCGUCCGCUCCAGGUUAGUCGGGAGCUAAGGUGAGGCCUAACGGCGUAGCCGAUGCACAGACGGUAGAGAUUCCGUCACCACCAAAAGAGUUAAACACAGGGACACAUUUGAAGUCUCGGAGCCGGGUGUUGGUUCCGGUAGCGAUCGAGGGAAGUUAGUACCGAAGUCCGGGAUGGAAGAUGGCGAGAAAAGCUGUGUGUAUUUCUGCGGUGCCCGUACCGCAAACCGACACAGGUAGGUAGGAAGAAGAUUCUAAGGCCAACGGGAGAAGGGUUGUUAAGGAACUCGGCAAAUUGACCCCGUAACUUCGGGAGAAGGGGUGCUCCAGAGAUGGAGCCGCAGAGAAUCGGCCCAAGCAACUGUUUACCAAAAACACAGGUUUGUGCUAAAUCGAAAGAUGACGUAUACGAGCUGACGCCUGCCCGGUGCUGGAAGGUUAAGAGGAGAUGUGCAAGCAUUGAAUCGAAGCCCCAGUGAACGGCGGCCGUAACUAUAACGGUCCUAAGGUAGCGAAAUUCCUUGUCAGGUAAGUUCUGACCCGCAUGAAAGGCGUAAUGAUUUGGGCACUGUCUCGACAGCCCGCCCGGCGAAAUUGUAGUACCGGUGAAGAUGCCGGUUACCCGCGACAAGACGGAAAGACCCCAUGGAGCUUUACUGUAGCCUAAUAUUGGGUUUCGAUGUUGCAUGCACAGGAUAGAUGGGACACUGGGAAGCAAGAGCUUUGGCUUUUGUGGAGUGGCCGUUGGGAUACCAUCCUUGCGAUAUUGGAAUUCUAACCUGCGCCUUUGAAUCAAGGCGGGGGACAUUGUUAGGUGGGCAGUUUGACUGGGGCGGUCGCCUCCUAAAGAGUAACGGAGGCGUUCAAAGGUUCGCUCAGCUUGAACGGAAAUCAAGCAAAAGAGUGCAAACGCAGAAGCGAGCCUAACUGCGAGACUGACGGGUCGAGCAGUAACGAAAGUUGGAGUUAGUGAUCCGGUGGUAUGUGAGUGGAAAUGCCAUCGCUCAACGGAUAAAAGUUACCCUGGGGAUAACAGGCUGAUCUCCCCCAAGAGUCCACAUCGACGGGGAGGUUUGGCACCUCGAUGUCGGCUCAUCGCAUCCUGGGGCUGUAUUCGGUCCCAAGGGUUUGGCUGUUCGCCAAUUAAAGCGGUACGCGAGCUGGGUUCAGAACGUCGUGAGACAGUUCGGUCCCUAUCUGUCGUGGGCGCAGGAUAUUUGAUGGGAGCUGUUCCUAGUACGAGAGGACCGGAGCGGACGUACCUCUGGCGCACCAGUUGUUCUGCCAAGGGCAUAGCUGGGCAACUAUGUACGGAUCGGAUAAACGCUGAAAGCAUCUAAGCGUGAAGCCGACCCAAAGAUAAGAUAUCCCAUUGUUUCAAACAAGUAAGACCCCUUGAAGACUACAAGGUUGAUAGGCACGAUGUGUAAGUGGAGUGAUCCAUUCAGCAAGCGUGUACUAAUAGGUCGAGGGCUUGACCAC